This 1323-nucleotide ribosomal RNA is filed under the name Campylobacter jejuni. RNAcentral describes it as "bacterial LSU rRNA". It matches the Rfam family "Bacterial large subunit ribosomal RNA", at positions 1 to 1348 of the family's 2925-position model. The record is from RNAcentral. Lineage: Bacteria; Pseudomonadati; Campylobacterota; Epsilonproteobacteria; Campylobacterales; Campylobacteraceae.
AGGUAAGCUACUAAGAGCGAAUGGUGGAUGCCUUGACUGGUAAAGGCGAUGAAGGACGUACUAGACUGCGAUAAGCUACGGGGAGCUGUCAAGAAGCUUUGAUCCGUAGAUUUCCGAAUGGGGCAACCCAAUGUAUAGAGAUAUACAUUACCUAUAUAGGAGCGAACGAGGGGAAUUGAAACAUCUUAGUACUCUCAGGAAAAGAAAUCAAUAGAGAUUGCGUCAGUAGCGGCGAGCGAAAGCGCAAGAGGGCAAACCCAGUGCUUGCACUGGGGGUUGUAGGACUGCAAUGUGCAAGAGGUAAGUUUAGCAGAACAUUCUGGAAAGUAUAACCAUAGAGGGUGAUAGUCCCGUAUGCGAAAAACAAACCUUAGCUAGCAGUAUCCUGAGUAGGGCGGGACACGAGGAAUCCUGUCUGAAUCCGGGUCGACCACGAUCCAACCCUAAAUACUAAUACCAGAUCGAUAGUGCACAAGUACCGUGAGGGAAAGGUGAAAAGAACUGAGGUGAUCAGAGUGAAAUAGAACCUGAAACCAUUUGCUUACAAUCAUUCAGAGCCCUAUGUAGCAAUACAGGGUGAUGGACUGCCUUUUGCAUAAUGAGCCUGCGAGUUGUGGUGUCUGGCAAGGUUAAGCAAACGCGAAGCCGUAGCGAAAGCGAGUCUGAAUAGGGCGCUUAGUCAGAUGCUGCAGACCCGAAACGAAGUGAUCUAUCCAUGAGCAAGUUGAAGCUAGUGUAAGAACUAGUGGAGGACUGAACCCAUAGGCGUUGAAAAGCCCCGGGAUGACUUGUGGAUAGGGGUGAAAGGCCAAUCAAACUUCGUGAUAGCUGGUUCUCUCCGAAAUAUAUUUAGGUAUAGCGUUGUGUCGUAAUAUAAGGGGGUAGAGCACUGAAUGGGCUAGGGCAUACACCAAUGUACCAAACCCUAUCAAACUCCGAAUACCUUAUAUGUAAUCACAGCAGUCAGGCGGCGAGUGAUAAAAUCCGUCGUCAAGAGGGAAACAACCCAGACUACCAGCUAAGGUCCCUAAAUCUUACUUAAGUGGAAAACGAUGUGAAGUUACUUAAACAACCAGGAGGUUGGCUUAGAAGCAGCCAUCCUUUAAAGAAAGCGUAAUAGCUCACUGGUCUAGUGAUUUUGCGCGGAAAAUAUAACGGGGCUAAAGUAAGUACCGAAGCUGUAGACUUAGUUUACUAAGUGGUAGGAGAGCGUUCUAUUUGCGUCGAAGGUAUACCGGUAAGGAGUGCUGGAGCGAAUAGAAGUGAGCAUGCAGGCAUGAGUAGCGAUAAUUAAUGUGAGAAUCAUUAACGCCGUAAACCCAA